CAGGAGCGCAUGUCCUGGUUCAGGGUGAUGCACUCGGUGCCGUCGUAGGCGAACUGACUGAACCCUCGGAGCAAGUUACCCUCGGACCCCACUACGCAGCCGGUCAUUUCCUGGAAGGUGUGAGACACUGACGCAGCCCAAGUGGGCGCGCAGCUUGUUCAGGUUCGCUCUGCUCCGCUGUUCGUUGUGCUUCAUCUCCCGCGUCUGCUCCUCCCAAAAUUUUGCGCCUUCCUGCUCCAUCCACGGCUGCUCCAGCCACUGCACCCGUGGCUCCAGCCUCUGCUUCUCGGGGUCGCUGUCGAACCGCAAGACCUCCGUGUCGUCCAGGUAGAUGACGACGACGUACCGGUUCUUCCCGCGGCCGGGUCCGGACGUGGAGAGGCUGUUCCCUCCCGACCCCGCACUCACGGGUCCAUUUCUGGGUCAGCGCCAGAGUCCCGGACAGCAGCAGCAGGAGGAGAAGGAGAAGGAGGGCUCCGGGCCCCAUGACAGCAGCAGCAGGAAAAGAAGGAAGGGUCCGGGCCCCAUGACGCAGACCAACGGUCUGGAAGGGUCCUGGUCACCUUAUCCGCUCUGGCGCUGAUUGGCUAGUUCGGACAUCCAAUGGGAGAAGUGUCCCGCUCUCUGCACCUGAUACCACUUGAACUCGGUGUGAUCACCUUAACCCUGCACCUGUUACCCUCUUCGCAGCAUGAAGACAGUUGUGUUGUGCUGACUGACCACCUACUGGUUUCUAGGAGUGAUGUACAGGAAUCUCCUAUUAAUACUGCUGCUUUAACUUGGUUACAGAGGGAUCUUAUCUGAGAGAUGAGCAGGGACAUUACUGAGAGGGACAUGCAGUAACUUCCCUGGUGGACAUAAUUGAGAGCUCUCACUGACUGGAAAUGAAAUCUGCCCAGCAUGCUGAACUCACUGCUCUAACUCCGGCUUGUCACCUGGACGAAGAUCCAGUAGCCAAUGUUUACCCUGAGAGUCGUGUGUACCUGGUGUAUCUGUGACUGUGGAUGAUGGGGAAGUGGGGAGGCCUCCUCACUUCCUCAGGGCAGCCCACAAACAAAUGGAAGACUGGUUGGAGAAUUAUUAGACGCCACACAGGACCCAAAACGAUGGGCCAUUGUCAAAAUUCUGGGGCAUUCCACUGCCACCAUGGAAGGGAAAGGAAGUCAUUUUGCUGAUACUGUAGCUGGGCAGGUGGCUUUGCACAGACAAAUGCAGGCCCAAAAAUGUUCCCUGAAUUCUAUUAAGUCAAUAAGGGAUUAUCUUUUACAGUUUCAACAGACAGCUAAGGAGGGGGAAAGGAGAAUAUGCAACGAAAAGAGGGAAACAUUGACCCAGACAGAGAAAUGUGGGUUGGACCCAGUCACAACCUAUCUUACCUGUAGGGGCCCGACUCCCUGCACUUGAACCUGUACAUGACCCCUGUACACUGGGGUCCUGGGAAGUUGGUUUCAUGGAGGGAACGAUGUCACUGGAGACCUUCUGCUGUAGCUCAUGAGGAGGACAGCAGAUGUCCUAUCUGUCCAAAGUGCAGCCCAGGGACCCACUCCCUGGGUCCCAAGGACAUUUCCCACUCCUGUGGGUCCACGUGAUGUUUGGUAUUUCAUCCAUAUUGCCACCGUGUCAGGGACACAAAUGUACAUGAGUGAUGACUUGUAUGUUUUCUCACUGGGUUGAGGUGUUGCCUUGCAGGAGAGUGGCAGCCUUAACAACUGGCAAUUCUUGUUAGAAAGAAUAACUUUUCAACAGGGGAAUUCCCUCUGAGUUAUAUCAUGACUGAGGACUCAUUUCACUGGGCAAGCCACAAAAUCCACCUGCAACCUUUGGCCCCUUCUGCAGCACUUUCGCUGUGCCCCUCACCCCCGCCCUCUGGACUGGGGGACAAACCAAUGGGACAUCAAAAUUCAACUGGACAGAACUUCAGAAGCCUUCACUCUGCCCUGGACAGAAGCUCUCCCUAGAGUGCAACUCAACCUGAGAGCCACACCCUUUGGUGAACGUGAACCUUCUCCUUCGGGAUUGGUCUCUGGCCGCCCUGUGCAUCUGGAUGAAGGGGCACAGAGAACAAUUUUGCUGAAAGGAGACCUUCUACACCACUUUCAGGGACUUAUUAACCAGCUUAAAAACACUGAUAAAUUAUUAACCAAUUCAUUUCACGCUGUCCUCCCAGGAGACACAGAUUUCAAAGAUCAUGGCUUACAACCUGGAGAUUUGGUCUGUUGGAAGAGACAUCAAAUAAAGGACUCUCUCCAGCCUCAUUGGAGGGACCUUACCAGGUACUACUAACUAACCCACGUGCAGCCCAACUCAAAGGAGUUAACUCCUGGGUUCACAUUUCUCAUUUUAAAAAGGCGCCUGAUAGUUCAUGGAGAUCUGCCCUUUCCCUUACACUCGCCUCCACCUACCCUGGGGAUCAAGGACUUUUCAAGGGCAAGAAGCCACCGACCAGGCAAGCAGACAGCUGUCCCAGCACAGCAAUGGGGCCUGUAGGCUCACAAAUUGAUGCUGCUGUUGACGGAAUGCACAUAAGAUGAAUUUGUAUUGUUAUUAUCCUCCUCAUGGCUUCCUCAUGGAAACAGUGCCAUCUAUCCAGACCCGCUUUCUUCUUAGACACAGAAAACUUAACUUGGGUACCUGCUCAUCUUUUCCACCUACUAGACAAUGGUAUUGUAAUUAUUCGUUAUGAUAAUGAAGUUAAUGCUUUGUUGCCCACACAUUGGGCUUCUCCUUCUAUCAUUAUAAGCUUUGGUACAUUUUUCCUGUAUAUGUCUUUCAUAAAGGACCCAUCUAGGGGAAAUUCCUCCAAGAACACGUCCCUGAUAAUUCCCCUGCUGGAAUCACAUAUGGACCCACCACCUAGGUGAGUGUUGUGUAGCUACAGCAACGGGUGAUGAAGAGCUAACAGAAACACCUGCAUGUGGUGGGAAAGGCUGGCAGUGACUGACUCUCUCUGUCACAGUGUGUCUGGUCCUUGGACUCACCAGCCUUGUGCCUGUGGCUGCAUGUCUGUGAAACAAGAAAAAAAUCAAUGGCUCCCCAUUUCAAAAAUUAUUGUUAUGACUUGUUGGGCAGCUAUAUCUGUAAAUACCCCACUCUCCUGAGUCCUGGACACUUGUGGGAAGCUUUAUGGAACAUUCAAACUCUAGUUCAUUUUGGGGUUACCUCUAUCCAUUUAACUGUGGGUGGGAAACUCAACAGUUCUGGGCGUAUUCAGUGCACCCCAGCUGCUCCCUGGCCAUGGCUGCCCAAUGGCAACAACAUCCCUGGUGGAUCCAACCCUACUCGCCCUCUAAAGGAAAUAAAAGAGGGUACUUGGAGGAUGAGGGGCUGGCCUUGGUGUUCUGGGAGAAGCUGAACUUGAAGUCAAUGAAGAACGUCAUUCGUUAGAAAAAGACCCUUUACCUAAAGUGUGUCCUGUAGAGGGAGUGCUGUUCCUGAAGCAGGAAAAGCGUGGGAAGCGGCACAGAAGGACAGUGAGGCCUGAGCUCCAUGGAUGGACAGACUGGACAGACUAUAGAAACUCAGGCCCAGACCCAGCAGUGGGACCUGCCUGCACCCGAACUCCACAGGCCUGUUGUCAGAGCUGAGGCAGACACAGUUUGAAGUGGCUAGGAAACCGUGGCCCCUGGAAUGGGUGCAAGAGUCCAGGCCAGACAGUCAUGGGACUCAUAUGGUCCCCUUGGAUUUUGGAAAAUUUGGAUGGGAAAGGCAAGCUACCAUGUAGUGUGUUAAAAGCCCAGGCACGUUGGUGAGGUGCUCAGCUCAGGUCCUCAGUAUUCCACAGCUGGCCUAGGGACCAUCCUCGCCAACACGGGAUACUUCCUGCAGGAUGUAAUGUACCACGUUUAUUAAAAUAAAUAAUGGGGACCCAUCUCACUGUGUAAUUGUAAACAUUGAGAAGGUAAUAGUCACGCCCCAAUUUAUAGGGAAUACUGAAUUUACCCAGUCUGGGCCUGUUGUUUCUUCCCCAGCAAAUACCAGUAUCUGGUAUAUGGAAAAGGGUUGUUUUUGUUGGGAGGGAUAUAGGAUUCUGUUAUACUAAGUGAUUUUUAUUGUAAUAACACCCUCUUUAUGUUAAAUACUACUGGAAUGUGGUGUAACACUAAAAGUAUAGGCAAAAUAACUUUGCCUGAGGUUAAUAAAAUUUAUGA
This is a long non-coding RNA of Phyllostomus hastatus (greater spear-nosed bat), 4148 nucleotides long. RefSeq lists it as uncharacterized. The record is from RefSeq and is a predicted model, not a curated record. Lineage: Eukaryota; Metazoa; Chordata; Mammalia; Chiroptera; Phyllostomidae. The transcript has 4 exons.